Fragaria vesca subsp. vesca is the source of this 1101-nucleotide RNA transcript. RefSeq lists it as uncharacterized. NCBI's taxonomy places the organism in Eukaryota, Viridiplantae, Streptophyta, Magnoliopsida, Rosales, Rosaceae. The transcript has 2 exons. The record is from RefSeq and is a predicted model, not a curated record.
GAAUUUAAAAAACCUAACUCAUUAAACAGAUCGAUUUGCACCUAUUAAAACCUAGGGUGAAGAGAAGAGGAGAGCAUCUUCUAUUCGCUGAGAUAAAGCUUUUCCUCUGCAGGGCCUUGUGCAGUAAACCCACUACGAUUUGGGUUAGUCGUCCGUCGUCGUAAAGUAGUCCUCACGAAGCUUUCGGGAAGAGGGGUAGUCUUGUGUGUAAGCAUAGCAUUUCUGGUCGAACCCGCCCAACCCAACUAUGAAGAACCAAACCUGACAGACACAUCUUUUUCCUUUUGGGAGGGUACUCCAAGCAGCUUUCACCUCUUUCAUCCAUUUAUCCAUUCAUCUCUAGUUCUCCACCUCAGAAGAUUCUCCUCAAUUUGAAGAGUUUAAGGCAUGGAUGGACUGCGCAAACCUUCAGCUUUUAAACAAAGUGAUGGUAAUGAGAUGGAAUACAAGGGAGUUCAAUAUGAUAAGUUGUCUACAGAAGACAUUAAAGGGCAGAAGUUUAAGACUAUGGAGGAUGCCGAGUCUUUUUACUACGCUUACGCAAAGGUCAUGGGUUUUGGUGUUAGAAAGAACUCCAAGAGACUGAAUACAAUCACACCAGGGAAAGUCACUUUGUUCAGGUUGGUUUGAUUGCGGCAUUUAUACUAUAAAAUUCAUGGAAGAUUUUGAGAAUGCAUCCAAGGCAGAGGAUGAGAAGAAGAAGAAGAAGACAAGACCACGAAACCAGCCAAGAAAAGGAAGAGAAAACAAGAAGACAUAGCACAAAGCGAUAAUGAUAAAGUCUUGCAUACAACCCAAGUACAUGCCAAGACCCAAGUACAUGCCAAAAGGGGUUGUGGUCGACCUCGUGGCUCAAAGAACAAGAAAAAAAGAGAAUGAAGAGAGUUAGGUUUUGCUUAGAUUAUAGUAAUUGUAGUUGCUUCACAUGCUUAGUUGUGUAAAAUAAUGAUCUAUUGAUCUUUCAUAUCUUGAACCAGCAAGGACUGGUCUGGUGAAAGGAACAAUCUUUCUAUUGUUCAUAUACACAUAUACCAUUACAUUUACAGUGGAUUUGCUUAGUCUCCCACGACAAUACAAACUGAUUUACAAGCGUUCUCAAUU